Molecule: ribosomal RNA, 373 nt
Filed under: uncultured bacterium
Lineage: Bacteria
Description: bacterial SSU rRNA
Rfam family: Bacterial small subunit ribosomal RNA
Source: RNAcentral
GUAGUCCACGCCGUAAACGAUGAUAACUCGUUGCAGGCGAUACACAGUCUGUGACUUAGCGAAAGCGUUAAGUUAUCCACCUGGGGAGUACGUUCGCAAGAAUGAAACUCAAAGGAAUUGACGGGGGCCCGCACAAGCGGAGGAACAUGUGGUUUAAUUCGAUGAUACGCGAGGAACCUUACCCGGGCUUGAAAGUUAGUGACCGGCCGAGAAAUCGGCUUUCCCUUCGGGGCACGAAACUAGGUGCUGCAUGGUUGUCGUCAGCUCGUGCCGUGAGGUGUCGGGUUAAGUCCCAUAACGAGCGCAACCCCUACUGUUAGUUACCAGCAUGUUAUGAUGGGGACUCUAGCAGGACUGCCGGUGUAAGCCGAGA